CAACACGACACGAAACGAUCCGAGACACCAAGCUGCGAAUACGGUUACAGUCCGUGGAACAGGCCGAGCGAUACACAUUGUCUCAAAUCUCUCCAAAACCCACAUUUAGGUGCACUAUACAGAGGGUCUCCUGGAGUCUAUCCACAAGGAGGUGGGGAGAACAAACAGAGGAACCUGGAGCAACAAAACUGUUGGGUUGUGUAAGAAUUUAAAGAAUGCUUCAAACCAGAUUAGACUUCAAGCUGUCAGGAUGAUCAGAGGUGCUUUCAGGAGCACCAGCAUGGACCUUUGAUGGAGCAUCUGAAGCUGAAGCUAGACACCAGACCGAUGGUGAACAUGAUACAACAGGUGGAAAGAUACAUGGAGGACAACAUGCUAUGGCGCCAUAUGAAAAUAGUAAACCAUUGUUGAAUAAUCGUACCGUGUCCACUCCAGCCAAGAGCAUUUCAGUCAUGUUGGCGUAGAUCUCCUCCAGAUUCAUCUCC
Molecule: long non-coding RNA, 485 nt
Organism: Tachysurus fulvidraco (yellow catfish)
Lineage: Eukaryota; Metazoa; Chordata; Actinopteri; Siluriformes; Bagridae
Exons: 4
Source: RefSeq, a predicted model, not a curated record